AAUCUUGCGCUAAUGCGCGAAAGCGUGACGCAGCGACGCCGCGUGGGGGAUGAAGGCCCUCGGGUUGUAAACCCUUUCGGCAGGGACGAAGCGAAAGUGACGGUACCUGCAGAAGAAGUCCCGGCUAACUACGUGCCAGCAGCCGCGGUAACACGUAGGGGACGAGCGUUGUCCGGAUUUAUUGGGCGUAAAGCGCGCGUAGGCGGCCCGGAAAGUCGGUUGUGAAAUCCCGGGGCUCAACCCCGGGACCGCGUCCGAUACUUCCGAGCUCGAGGCAGGUAGGGGAGAUCGGAAUUCCUGGUGUAGCGGUGAAAUGCGCAGAUAUCAGGAGGAACACCGGUGGCGAAGGCGGAUCUCUGGGCCUUGCCUGACGCUGAGGCGCGAAAGCUAGGGGAGCGAACAGGAUUAGAUACCCUGGUAGUCCUAGCCGUAAACGUUGGGUGCUAGGUGUGGGCGGACAUCGACCCCGUCCGUGCCGAAGCUAACGCAUUAAGCACCCCGCCUGGGGAGUACGGCCGCAAGGCUA
RNAcentral lists this ribosomal RNA (526 nucleotides) under uncultured Actinomycetes bacterium. Its description in RNAcentral is "bacterial SSU rRNA". It matches the Rfam family "Bacterial small subunit ribosomal RNA", at positions 359 to 896 of the family's 1533-position model. The record is from RNAcentral. Lineage: Bacteria; Bacillati; Actinomycetota; Actinomycetes.